AGAUUGAACGCUAGCGGCAUGCUUAACACAUGCAAGUCGAACGGUAACAGGCCUAGCUUGCUAGGCGCUGACGAGUGACGGACGGGUGAGUAACGCGUAGGAAUCUACCUUGUAGUGGGGAAUAACUUGGGGAAACUCAAGCUAAUACCGCAUAAGACCUAAGGGAGAAAGUAUGGGACCGAAAGGCCAUACGCUAUAAGAUGAGCCUGCGUCGGAUUAGCUAGUUGGUAGGGUAAAGGCCUACCAAGGCGAGGAUCCGUAGCUGGUCUGAGAGGACGACCAGCCACACUGGGACUGAGACACGGCCCAGACUCCUACGGGAGGCAGCAGUGGGGGAAUAUUGCACAAUGGGCGGAAGCCUGAUGCAGCGACGCCGCGUGAGGGAUGACGGCCUUCGGGUUGUAAACCUCUUUCAGCAGGGACGAAGCGCAAGUGACGGUACCUGCAGAAGAAGCGCCGGCCACUACGUGCCAGCAGCCGC
RNAcentral lists this ribosomal RNA (481 nucleotides) under uncultured bacterium. RNAcentral describes it as "SSU rRNA". It matches the Rfam family "Bacterial small subunit ribosomal RNA", at positions 26 to 518 of the family's 1533-position model. The record is from RNAcentral.